This 253-nucleotide ribosomal RNA is filed under the name uncultured bacterium. RNAcentral describes it as "partial 16S ribosomal RNA". It matches the Rfam family "Bacterial small subunit ribosomal RNA", at positions 524 to 776 of the family's 1533-position model. The record is from RNAcentral.
UACGUAGGGGGCGAGCGUUGUCCGGAAUCAUUGGGCGUAAAGCGCGUGUAGGCGGUCCGGUAAGUCCGCUGUGAAAGUCGGGGGCUCAACCCUCGGAUGCCGGUGGAUACUGUCGGGCUUGAGUACGGAAGAGGCGAGUGGAAUUCCUGGUGUAGCGGUGAAAUGCGCAGAUAUCAGGAGGAACACCAAUUGCGAAGGCAGCUCGCUGGGACGUUACUGACGCUGAGACGCGAAAGCGUGGGGAGCGAACAGG